UACGGGGGGUGCAAGCGUUAUUCGGAAUUAUUGGGCGUAAAGGGCGCGUAGGCGGUUUUAUAAGUCAGAUGUGAAAGCCCCGGGCUUAACCCGGGAAGAGCAUUUGAAACUAUAUAACUUGAGUACGGUAGAGGAAAGCGGAAUUCCUGGUGUAGAGGUGAAAUUCGUAGAUAUCAGGAGGAACACCGGUGGCGAAGGCGGCUUUCUGGACCUGUACUGACGCUGAGGCGCGAAGGCGUGGGUAGCGAACGGG
RNAcentral lists this ribosomal RNA (253 nucleotides) under uncultured Desulfobacula sp. RNAcentral describes it as "partial 16S ribosomal RNA". It matches the Rfam family "Bacterial small subunit ribosomal RNA", at positions 524 to 776 of the family's 1533-position model. Lineage: Bacteria; Pseudomonadati; Thermodesulfobacteriota; Desulfobacteria; Desulfobacterales; Desulfobacteraceae. The record is from RNAcentral.